UUUCCUACGGGGCGCAGCAGUAGGGAAUCUUCGGCAAUGGACGAAAGCCUGACCCAGCAACGCCGCGUGAAGGAAGAAGGCCCUCGGGUUGUAAACUUCUUUUAUUCGGAACGAAACAAAUGACGGUACCGAAUGAAUAAGCCACGGCUAACUACGUGCCAGCAGCCGCGGUAAUACGUAGGUGGCAAGCGUUAUCCGGAUUUACUGGGUGUAAAGGGCGUGUAGGCGGGAGAGCAAGUCAGACGUGAAAUUCCAGGGCUCAACCCCGGAACUGCGUUUGAAACUGUUCUUCUUGAGUGAUGGAG
Molecule: ribosomal RNA, 305 nt
Filed under: uncultured bacterium
Lineage: Bacteria
Description: bacterial SSU rRNA
Rfam family: Bacterial small subunit ribosomal RNA
Source: RNAcentral